CUUCAUCAUCGCCGUGCCAUCUCGUUCUAGCACGAGAGAUCCAAUAUGCAUCACUUCUUCCUCUUCCUCUUCCUCCUCGUUUUCUUGCUUCCCCAUGAAACCAGCUACUCCACGGCCAUAGCUUCCGGCGGCGGCGACUUGUGCAGCCGGCGGUGCGGCGGUACCACCGUCCCAUAUCCUUUCGGAUUCUCCCCCGGCUGCCCCAUCGUCCUGUCGUGCGACGCCAGCAUCUCCACGCCGAUCCUCCCAUACAUAGGAGACAACGGCAUCAUGUACCGCGUCAUAGCCUUCAACUCAACCACCUCCACCGUUGUCGUCGGCCUUCCGCCGUCGUGCAGCCGCAGCGUCCCCGAGGCCAGGAGGGUGCUCUCCGGGGGCAACUACGGCGUGUCGUCUCGCACCGGUCUUUUCCUCCGCGGCGGCUGCAGCGGGAUCAACGCGUCGGCGGCCGCCGGAUGCAGCGUGCCCAUGGGCGUCAUGUCCAGGCUGCUCCGCACGGCGCAGUGCGUCGGCCUCGGCAACGACACCUCGCCCGCCGCUGUGGCGUGCGUCGCUUCCCGUCCGGCAAACUCCACCGCGGCGGUGCAUGACCAGUUUCUUCUGUGGGAGAAGGUCGAGAAGCAAAAGUGCGACGACGUGUUAACCUCCACGGUGUUGGUGCUCACGGUGGAGGGGACGGCUACGCUGGAGUUCGGCGAGGCCGAGCUCGGCUGGUGGCUCAACGGGACGUGCGCCGACGGCGUGGAGCGUUGCGCGGCGAACGCGACGUGCACCGACGUACAAACGCCUGGCGGGGAGUUGGGGCACCGGUGCGAGUGCGCGGCGGGGAUGGAGGGCGACGGCUUCUCGGCCGGCGACGGAUGCUACCUCGAUCCAACAUGGGCAAAGGCGAUCGUCGGGGCCGUGUUGGUAACAUGGGCUUUGGUCGUGCUCAUACUUGCUCUUUGCAUAAUUUCUUGUGUCUGCCUCUGCCUCUGCUGUCACCGUCGAAGGCGCAGUAACAUGAAGAAAACCAAACAAUCGUUGAAAGCGUUGACAACACUAUUUCGCGGCGAACUUGUCGAUGGCGAGCUCGACCAAGGACUCUCUGGGCCCCGACGAUUUUCUUUCGAGGAGCUCGCUGCAGCGACGGAUAAUUUCUCCAAUGACAGGGCGCUCGGGAGAGGAGGCUUUGGGUCUGUGUACCGAGGGUUUAUGAGCGACAUGAACCGCGAAGUGGCUGUCAAGAAGGUGUCAGAGACAUCUCGUCAGGGCUGGAAGGAGUUCCUCUCGGAGGUGCGGAUCAUUAGUCGGCUCAGGCACCGCAACCUCGUGCAGCUCAUCGGCUGGUGCCAUGGCGGCGAUGAGCUCCUCCUUGUCUACGAGCUGAUGCAUAAUGGCAGCCUCGACACUCAUUUGUACAGAUCCGACUACGUGCUGACAUGGCCUGUUAGGUACGAGAUAGUGCUCGGCAUAGGUUCCGCACUUAUGUACUUGCAUCAAGACACGGAGCAGCGUGUGGUGCACAGGGACAUCAAGCCAAGCAACAUCAUGCUAGAUGCCUCCUUCACCGCCAAGCUCGGCGACUUCGGGCUCGCGCGGCUCAUCAAUGAUGGCCAGAUAUCGUACAUGACUGACACAGCCGGCACGAUGGGGUACAUCGACCCGGAGAGCGUGCUGGCCGGCACAGCGAGCGUCGAGUCGGAUGUGUACAGCUUCGGGGUCCUCCUCCUCGAGGUCGCAUGUGGUCGGCGGCCAGCUCUAGUCCAGGAAGACGGUGGUGCCGUCCACCUGGUGUCAUGGGUGUGGGACUUGUACGGCGGAGGAUCAAUCCGUGCCGCCGCCGACCAGCGGCUUAGGGGGGAAUUUGAUGGUGCGGAGAUGGAGGGUGUUAUGGUCGUGGGGCUCUGGUGUGCGCAUCCUGACCGUGGCAUGCGGCCAUCCAUCAGGCAAGCGAUGAACGUGCUGCGGUUCGAAGCGCCAUUGCCGAGCCUCCCGGCAAAGAUGCCGGUGGCGACCUAUGGGCCGCCGACUAAUCCUUCGACUUCGGGAACUUUGGUGCUGAGCAGCAGCAUCAGUGGCCGGUGAAGGCGUUCCUACCAGUACACAUGGACCACCAACAAUGGACUUUCUAGUUACGGACUGAUGUGGCAUAUCAUUUUGUGUGUCCGGUCUAAUUGAAAAGCACUGGGCCUACAUCGCAAAUUCGCUGUGUGUUCGCUAGUUAAAUUCUCCAUUUCUCACCCAAAAAUAAAAACUUCUAGUAGUUAAAUUCUUCAGUUAUUUUUAGUGUCGUUGUACUGUCAUGAUUGAAAGUGAAUAUAUUGAAGGGGAAAGCUAUUUUCCUGCCGACUGUUAGUUAGCGCCAGGCACG
RNAcentral lists this ribosomal RNA (2353 nucleotides) under Triticum aestivum (bread wheat). Its description in RNAcentral is "partial small subunit ribosomal RNA". The record is from RNAcentral. Lineage: Eukaryota; Viridiplantae; Streptophyta; Magnoliopsida; Poales; Poaceae.